GUGAAUCAUAAUUGGUCUGGAAAAGAUGUUCCUCACUGAUAAAAAGAGAAGCAUGAGAGGAAACUCUUCUUUAAUCCACCUCUGCAUGUGAUCAUCUGCAUUUGACUCCUUGAACUAUGGCAGCCAGCUGGAGCCAUGAAGUAAGCCACCCUAACAUGAGUGGCAGAAACAUGGAGAGAAUUUUAAAGCUGGACAAGACCCUCAGAAAGCAGAUAAUCAAAGUACCUCAAUCAAUUGAAGUCCUGGGACAUUAAGCAAUUUAUCCAAGGUCACAAAGCAAGUUACAAUGGAGCCACCAUUUACCUCUUGAAGGAGGAAACAGACCAUCAAUUCUGAAGAAUAGACUUUUGUCUCCAGAUUUAAUGGUUUUCCCUUUCUGCUGUUAGUAUAGAGAUCUUCAGUGUCUAAUGAGUAAGACAGUCUAAAAUUUUUCAUUUUUCAAAGAACAAAAACUCCUGACAUCUGCUUUCUUCCCUUCCCUAGCAUUAAAGAAAAAAAGAAAAAAACAAAAACAACUUGUCGUUGUGAUUGGAAUAAUGGUUUUGCUUUCGAUGAGGCACUAAUGACCCUAUGUCUGUUCUUCAUUAUCAUUUGAGAGUUACAGAAAUCUCACGGAAGCUAG
RNAcentral lists this long non-coding RNA (622 nucleotides) under Homo sapiens (human). Its description in RNAcentral is "HSALNT0314672". The record is from RNAcentral. Lineage: Eukaryota; Metazoa; Chordata; Mammalia; Primates; Hominidae.